Rattus norvegicus (Norway rat) is the source of this 5581-nucleotide non-coding RNA. The record is from RefSeq and is a predicted model, not a curated record. NCBI's taxonomy places the organism in Eukaryota, Metazoa, Chordata, Mammalia, Rodentia, Muridae.
UCCUGGCCCCGCCCCCAGGCAGAGCGGAGGCGCCGGGAGCGGUGUGAGCAGGCAGCGGGACCCUGGUGCGGAAGGCAGGAGCGGCCAGCGAGAGCACGAGAGGUACUCGUGGGAUUAGGGAUCGGGAGGCACCAGGCUCGGGCUGAAUACCCAACAAAGUAGCCUGGACGUGAACCCUUGUAGUGUGGGGAGGAACGGGACUAUUGGCUGCUUUCACUACCCGCACCCCACCCAACCUCCUGCCCCAGUCCAGCCCCAAGUCAGCACGUCCAGUGUUCUGUCUCCGGCUGGCAGCUCCCACUCCCUCCUCUGUGUGAGCAGAUUCAUAACUCCACUGAGUGGAUUCAUUGGUUCUGGGCCUUUCUCAGCAGUGCUGGCAACUUCUCCUGCUGCUGAGUGUGUGGGGCUCCCCCUAUUAGGGGCUCUCCUCUCCCAGUGUGACCUCUUUCCCAGCCUUUGCAGUCCUGGGUCUGGCCUGGGAGGAAACAUCUGUAACACUCCCUGGCAACAGAAAUAGGGUCAUGACCUCCAGAUGUGCUGGGAAGCAUCCAGCGCCUCCUCCUGGGGCAGCCAGGCCUUCCGGAUCUGUGGGGGCGGGGCACCCCCCUUUCCCCCCCAGUGACACAGGCUGCAAGGAAUGUCCUGGCCUCAAUGGACCUUGUGUGAAGAUGUGGGAUGGGGGGCAGAGCCCAAGUACACCCCUUAAGGCAGGGCCAGAACAAGAGGCAGCUCCUGAGCUGGGCUACACACAUUCCCAGAGCCCAGCUCACAGUGAAGGGCCCUCACAGACCCCUCUUGUUUCUCUCACUCUCCUUCCCACACUGUGGUCUAAGUCCAAGCCCACAUGUGCUCACAGCUUGGUCCAUGGACCUGGGGUCCGCAUAGUUCAUGGACAUAGUUGGCUUCACCCUUUCAGUUUCUAAGCAGUCUUCAAAGAAAGCAAGAAGUACGCAUCAGAGCUUAUCCUAGGAGAAAGUAAGACAGGAAGAUCCUGAGGUGGAGGUCUAUUCUUGCUUGGUUCUGAAGGCCCAGCUGAGGGGUACCGUGGAACUGUUCCCUAUCCCCUUCUAGCCUAGCCACACUUGAUGCCACUGGGUGACAUAUCAAACCGUACCAACAGAGGCCUGCACCUGCAGUGAGGCUCCCAUGCCCCUGCCCCAACUGUUGACUCCAUCCAUCGUUCACCCAAGGUGGUCUUGGCGGCCUCACACCUUCUGCACCUGCCUAGUCUAGCUUCACCACAUUUCCACACUUAGUAGGUCCCUGGGGCCGUGGGUGUUUCAGCCUCACAUCCUGUGAGACCUUGAGCCUCUCCCCUCUUCCCUCACAAGGCUGCCUUACUCCUACGCACACAGAAGCAGAGUAGACAGGUACAGUUCUGCCAAACCCAGAAGCAGCGAUUCUCAACCUGUGGGUCGAGCAGCCCUUUCACAGCGGUCAUAUUUAUAAUUCUUAACAGUAGCAAAAUUACAGUUAUGAAUAGCAGUGAAAAUAAUUUUAUGGCUGUGAGGUCACCACGGCAUGAGGAACUCUAUUAAAAAGUCACAGUAUUAGAAAGGUGGAGAACCACUGCCUUAGCAACUCAGAGCCAAGGUUCAAAUUCUAGUUUGAACAUGGAGCUAAUUCAGGCAAGCUCAUCUUAACUGGGCUUCAUUUUGACCUUCUAGCCCACUGGGUUCAAACCUCCCUUCCAUACAUGUGAGGCUAGCAAGACACAUCCACAGGGAUCCUGUUGGGAUUAGCCUCUCUCACCCCCAGAAGAGAGGCAGCAUUAGUCCUGUCCUGUAGACUUAGGUGUCUUGGGCCCCAUGACUGAGCUGUUGUGACCCUAGCACCUUCCUCAGGAUAUAGGAGCCAAGCAGGGGGCUGGGCUGAGUUGGGGCCACUUCCUGUGUUAUAGGAAGUCCUCUCACCACUGCCUCUGUCCCGCAGCAGCUGCCCCAGGAACCCCUGUGUCCUUGAGGUAUUAAGGCUGCGGGAGUGAGGGCAUUGAGUCUAGGCCUUGGGUGCUCAGCUCCUUAGGGACCCUGGAGGAAGUGGGAGGUACCAGGGAGGAAGGUCUCUGGGGACAGGACGUCCUCCCUUUGUCAAGUGGGCAAGACCCAGACACCAGUGGCUGCUUUGAUUUCCGUCCCAGUGGAAACUGUCUGUCCAAACUUUGGUGGCAACUCUCACUUUGGGCCUAGUUCCACAGCCAAGGUGUACAGGGGAGAACUAGGAGGCCUAGGUGCCCACUAGGCCCAGUCACUAGGAUCCCCCAGAGGCAAAGCAUCACAGCUUAGCCCUCAGCCUUGACCAGGGCUAAGGCUAGGAGGGGGCUGGAAACUUCAGCCCCAGGCAGACAAGGAAGUGGCCAGGAAAGCGGAAGCAGCUUUGAUGGUCCGGGAGGGGGCCGGAAGCCAAAUGGGGUGGUGGAAGACUGGGCUGGGGGCCUGAGUUCCUGUUUUCUCCCCAGGCCCAUCUAAGCAGCCCCCUCCUCCUGCAGUGCAGGAACCACUGAAACCUCAGCCUUCUGGCUGGGCACCAAGGACCCGUGCCCACCAAUGCGGCCCGGCCCCCAGAGAGUCAGGCCCACAGAGCACGCCCAUGUGGGCCGGCGGUGUGGGGAGCCCUCGGCGGGGCAUGGCCCCUGCACCUACCGAUGACCUCUUUGCCCGUAAGCUGCGCCAACCCGCCCGGCCCCCACUGACACCACAUACUUUUGAGCCAAGGCCAGCUCGGGGGCCACUCCUGCGCAGUGGCAGUGAUGCUGGUGAAGUCCGGCCUCCUACACCAGCCAGCCCCCGUGCCCGUGCCCACAGCCAUGAGGAUACCAGCCGCCCUGCUGCAACCCCUACUCGGCUCUUCACUGACCCACUGGCACUACUGGGGUUGCCAGCUGAGGAGCCAGAGCCCACCUUCCCACCAGUGCUAGAACCCCGAUGGUUUGCUCACUACGAUGUGCAGAGCUUGCUCUUUGACUGGGCUCCACGACCUCGGGCGACAGGCAGCCAUACCGAGUCUAACUCUGGGACUCUGGCCUUAGCUGAGGACCAGACUACCACCUCAGAUCUACUGCUCGGGGCACCUGGCUUUGUGAGCGAGCUUGGUGGGGAGGGUGAGCUAGGGCUGGGUGGACCAAUAUCCCCACCUGUGCCCCCUGCACUGCCUAAUGCGUCUGUGUCAGUCCUGGAGGAGCCACAGACCCGGACCACAGCUUACAGCCUGGAGCACGCAGAUCUGGGUGCAGGCUACUACCGCAAGUACUUCUAUGGCAAAGAACACCAGAACUUCUUUGGGCUGGAUGAGGCGCUGGGUCCGGUGGCAGUGAGCCUACGACGGGAGGAGAAAGAGGGCAGCGGAGGGGGCACCCUACACAGUUAUCGGGUCAUCGUACGGACCACGCAGCUCCGGACUCUCCGUGGCACCAUCUCGGAGGAUGCACUGCCUCCCGGCCCCCCGAGGGGCCUAUCUCCGAGGAAGCUUCUGGAACACGUGGCUCCACGGCUGAGCCCAACCUGCCUGCGCCUGGGUUCAGCCUCUCCCAAGGUGCCCCGCACGCUGCUUACUCUAGAUGAGCAAGUGCUGAGUUUCCAACGCAAGGUGGGCAUCCUGUACUGCCGGGCCGGCCAAGGCUCUGAGGAAGAGAUGUACAACAACCAGGAAGCCGGAGCAGCCUUCAUGCAGUUCCUCACCCUGCUGGGUGAUGUGGUGCGACUCAAAGGCUUCGAGAAUUACCGGGCCCAGCUGGAUACCAAAACGGAUUCCACGGGCACACAUUCACUCUAUACCACCUACCAAGACCAUGAGAUCAUGUUUCACGUGUCCACGAUGCUGCCUUACACGCCUAAUAACCAGCAACAGCUCCUGAGGAAGCGUCAUAUCGGCAAUGAUAUUGUGACCAUCGUGUUCCAGGAGCCGGGUAGCAAGCCCUUCUGCCCCACAACUAUCCGCUCUCACUUCCAGCACGUUUUCUUGGUGGUGCGUGCGCAUGCCCCCUGCACCCCACACACCUCAUACAGGGUGGCAGUGAGCCGCACACAGGACACUCCUGCCUUCGGGCCGGCGCUGCCAGAAGGCGGAGGCCCCUUUGCAGCCAAUGCUGAUUUCCGGGCCUUUCUGUUGGCCAAGGCACUCAAUGGUGAGCAAGCGGCCGGUCAUGCACGCCAGUUCCACGCCAUGGCUACACGCACACGUCAACAGUACCUGCAGGACCUGGCUACUAAUGAAGUGACCACUACUUCGCUGGAUUCGGCUUCGCGGUUUGGCCUACCAUCUCUGGGGGGCAGGCGCCGGGCAACCCCUCGGAGCCCAGGCGCAGAGCUGCAGGCGGCGGGCGCGCUAAUGUGGGGCGUGCGCGCGGCUCCAGGGGCGCGGGUCUCAGCGGGAGCUGAAACAGGCGGCCCAGACCACGCCGAGGUGCCAUGCUUGUUGGGCAUCUCAGCAGAGACCCUGGUGCUAGUGACACCUCGCGACGGCCGCGUGGUCUUCAAUUGUGCCUGUCGCGAUGUAUUGGCCUGGACCUUCUCAGACCAUCAACUUGAUCUAUACCACGGGCGCGGAGAGGCGAUCACGCUACGACUCGAUGGGGCCCCAGGGCAAGCCGUGGGCGAAGUCGUGGCACGUCUGCAGCUGGUGAGCCGGGGCUGUGAGACCAGAGAACUAGCCCUGCCCAGAGAUGGCCAAGGUCGCCUGGGCUUCGAGGUGGAUGCAGAGGGUUUCAUCACGCACGUGGAACGCUUCACGUUCGCGGAGACCACGGGGCUUCGGCCUGGAGCACGUCUGCUGCGCGUAUGUGGCCAGACGCUGCCCAAGCUGGGUCCAGAAGCUGCUGCCCAGAUGCUGCGCUCUGCGUCCAAGGUCUGCGUCACGGUCCUGCCCCCAGAUGAGAGCGGCCGGCCGCGAAGGAGCUUUUCCGAGCUGUACACGCUGUCUCUGAAGGAACCCAGCCGCCGUGCGGCCCCAGAGCCAGAACAAGAUGAGACUGAGAAGCUGGUCACCUUGCCCGCUGCAAAGCAGCUGCUACAUUUUUGCCUGAAGGACGGUGGUAGUCCUCCGGGGCCUGGGGAUCUCACUGAGGAGAGGACAGAGUUCCUGCACAGCCACAACUCCCUGUCACCUCGCAGCUCCAUGUCCGAUGAGGCUCCAGUCCUGCCCAACACCACUCCAGACCUCCUCCUCGUCACCGCUGUCACCACAUUGGCACCCGGUACUGACAGAGAGACGCCCCCUUCCCAGGACCAGUCGGGAAGCUCCAGUAGUCAUGAAGACACCAGUGACUCGGCACCAGAAUUGAGGGCCUCCAUCCUGCCCAGAACCUUGUCUCUUCGGAAUUCCAUCAGUAAAACCUUUCUCCUUUAUUGCAGUUAUGUCAGAAGCCGGCAGCGAGACCCUGGAGGAUGAGUGGCAGUCCAUCUCAGAGAUCGCCUCCACUUGCAACACAAUUCUGGAGUCACUGUCCCGGGAGGGACAGCCCAUCCUAGAGAGUGGAGACCCCAAGGAAACUUCAAAGUGUAAUUCUGAGCCAGAACCUGGGAGCCUGUCAGAAAAGGUCUCUCACCUAGAGUCCAUGCUGAGGAAGCUCCAGGAGGACCUGCAGAGG